GUCCUCUUGAUAAUAAUUUGAGGUUUAACCUGCCCACUGAGGAUUUUAACGGCCGCAGUAAUUUGACUGUGCAAAGGUAGCAUAAUCAUUAGUUUUUUAAUUAAAAGCUUGUAUGAAGGGUUGGACGAGGUAAAAUCUGUCUCUAUUUAAUUUAUAAUAGAAUUUAAUUUUUAAGUUAAAAAGCUUAAAUUUAAAUAAAAGACGAGAAGACCCUAUAGAUCUUUAUAGUAUUUAAAUUAAUUUUAAUUAAGAAUUUUUUAUUAAUUAAUUUAUAUAUUAUUUUAUUGGGGUAAUAAAAAGAUUUAAAAAAUUCUUUUUUAAUUUAUACAUUGAUUAAUGAAUAAAUGAUCCAAUUAUUUUGAUUAUAAGAUUAAGUUACCUUAGGGAUAACAGCGUAAUUUUUUUAGAGAGUUCUUAUCGAUAAAAAAGUUUGCGA
Molecule: ribosomal RNA, 436 nt
Filed under: Thermonectus basillaris
Lineage: Eukaryota; Metazoa; Arthropoda; Insecta; Coleoptera; Dytiscidae
Description: partial 16S ribosomal RNA
Source: RNAcentral